Molecule: small nucleolar RNA, 94 nt
Organism: Hevea brasiliensis (rubber tree)
Lineage: Eukaryota; Viridiplantae; Streptophyta; Magnoliopsida; Malpighiales; Euphorbiaceae
Product: small nucleolar RNA snoR26
Exons: 1
Source: RefSeq, a predicted model, not a curated record
GGGGCAUUAGUGAUGAGUUGAUAAAAAAUUGUUAUCCUUACAUUUUGAUUUGUAGUGAAGAACAUCAUGGGAAUUUAUUACUUUAAAGAUGCUC